Delphinapterus leucas (beluga whale) is the source of this 568-nucleotide non-coding RNA. Lineage: Eukaryota; Metazoa; Chordata; Mammalia; Artiodactyla; Monodontidae. The record is from RefSeq and is a predicted model, not a curated record.
AUGUAUCCCCUGGGUAAAUUCCUUUAAAAGGGAUUACUGAGUCAAGAGUGAAUUCUACCAAGAGUCUCUGUGGCUCUAUUAAUGAAGCCCGGAAUGAGUGCUUUUCAGCAGUUGCAUCGAAUUUGCUCGUUUUAAGUUUGUAAGUGGCAAAUAUUCCCAAAUCUUUCUCACCUAAACGACAUCAGCUUCCCAGAUUUACAAUUAGUUUAAAUGGACCCAGGUUAAGAAAUAUGAUAUUGUCAGCACCAUAGAAGAUAGGCUUUUAGGUACUAUCCUUUAUCCCAUGCACUUCCCUCCCUGGUUCAGGAAUCACUGUCAUGGCUUCUGUGAUGGUGGUUCUCUUUCCAUCUUUACAGUUUACCAAGUAUGUGUGCAUGAGGUUUAGUUUUGCCUGUUUUGGAACUUUAUAUAAAUGGAAUCAUGCUGUAUGUAUUAUUUUAUAAUUUACUUCUUUUUCUCAAAGUUAUGUUUGUGAGGUUCAUCUCCAUUGAAUAUGUAGCUGUAGUUUGUUCAUUAUUAUUGCUGUAGCAUAUUCCGUUGUAUGAAUAUUUUAAAAUUUAUUUAUCUA